RNAcentral lists this ribosomal RNA (453 nucleotides) under uncultured Kluyvera sp. RNAcentral describes it as "bacterial SSU rRNA". It matches the Rfam family "Bacterial small subunit ribosomal RNA", at positions 355 to 800 of the family's 1533-position model. The record is from RNAcentral. Lineage: Bacteria; Pseudomonadati; Pseudomonadota; Gammaproteobacteria; Enterobacterales; Enterobacteriaceae.
UGGGGAAUAUUGCACAAUGGGCGCAAGCCUGAUGCAGCCAUGCCGCGUGUAUGAAGAAGGCCUUCGGGUUGUAAAGUACUUUCAGCGAGGAGGAAGGCAUUGUGGUUAAUAACCGCAGUGAUUGACGUUACUCGCAGAAGAAGCACCGGCUAACUCCGUGCCAGCAGCCGCGGUAAUACGGAGGGUGCAAGCGUUAAUCGGAAUUACUGGGCGUAAAGCGCACGCAGGCGGUCUGUCAAGUCGGAUGUGAAAUCCCCGGGCUCAACCUGGGAACUGCAUUGGAAACUGGCAGGCUAGAGUCUUGUAGAGGGGGGUAGAAUUCCAGGUGUAGCGGUGAAAUGCGUAGAGAUCUGGAGGAAUACCGGUGGCGAAGGCGGCCCCCUGGACAAAGACUGACGCUCAGGUGCGAAAGCGUGGGGAGCAAACAGGAUUAGAUACCAUGGUAGUCCACGC